UGCGGGUGCCUCUGUGUUCAGAGUUCUCCCGGUUUGGUAGCGGAGUGAGUGUGAGGGCCCUCGGGGUACCUCGACAGUGGCCCCUGUUGUGAAGGGACAAAAAACUCCCGCUGUGGGUGAAGCCUGGGAAAAGCAAACACCAUCGGGAGUCUUAUUUCACCUCGGCCUUAAGCACYGGCUCCUGAUAAAUCAUGGUCCCUCAGUGAGAUUUGUUGCCAGCGGGGGGAGUGAAACGAGACUUGAGUAGUUCCCACUCCCUGAGAACUGCGUAUAACACAGAGUUCUGCAAGCCUUGAGCAUGGAAAAUUUUCCAGCAUCAGUCCCUGAAGUCACUGMUCAUUUGACAGCUCCCACAGUAUCACUGCUGCUGAAGAUUAGGAGCCCGAGGACUCCCUGGACCACUUCUGCUUCGAGAAUCAGACUCAGAAGUCCUUGAG
Long non-coding RNA from Malurus melanocephalus (red-backed fairy wren), 437 nucleotides. RefSeq lists it as uncharacterized. The record is from RefSeq and is a predicted model, not a curated record. Lineage: Eukaryota; Metazoa; Chordata; Aves; Passeriformes; Maluridae. The transcript is spliced from 3 exons.